RNAcentral lists this ribosomal RNA (2924 nucleotides) under Staphylococcus aureus. Its description in RNAcentral is "23S ribosomal RNA". It matches the Rfam family "Bacterial large subunit ribosomal RNA". Lineage: Bacteria; Bacillati; Bacillota; Bacilli; Caryophanales; Staphylococcaceae. The record is from RNAcentral.
GAUUAAGUUAUUAAGGGCGCACGGUGGAUGCCUUGGCACUAGAAGCCGAUGAAGGACGUUACUAACGACGAUAUGCUUUGGGGAGCUGUAAGUAAGCUUUGAUCCAGAGAUUUCCGAAUGGGGAAACCCAGCAUGAGUUAUGUCAUGUUAUCGAUAUGUGAAUACAUAGCAUAUCAGAAGGCACACCCGGAGAACUGAAACAUCUUAGUACCCGGAGGAAGAGAAAGAAAAUUCGAUUCCCUUAGUAGCGGCGAGCGAAACGGGAAGAGCCCAAACCAACAAGCUUGCUUGUUGGGGUUGUAGGACACUCUAUACGGAGUUACAAAGGACGACAUUAGACGAAUCAUCUGGAAAGAUGAAUCAAAGAAGGUAAUAAUCCUGUAGUCGAAAAUGUUGUCUCUCUUGAGUGGAUCCUGAGUACGACGGAGCACGUGAAAUUCCGUCGGAAUCUGGGAGGACCAUCUCCUAAGGCUAAAUACUCUCUAGUGACCGAUAGUGAACCAGUACCGUGAGGGAAAGGUGAAAAGCACCCCGGAAGGGGAGUGAAAUAGAACCUGAAACCGUGUGCUUACAAGUAGUCAGAGCCCGUUAAUGGGUGAUGGCGUGCCUUUUGUAGAAUGAACCGGCGAGUUACGAUUUGAUGCAAGGUUAAGCAGUAAAUGUGGAGCCGUAGCGAAAGCGAGUCUGAAUAGGGCGUUUAGUAUUUGGUCGUAGACCCGAAACCAGGUGAUCUACCCUUGGUCAGGUUGAAGUUCAGGUAACACUGAAUGGAGGACCGAACCGACUUACGUUGAAAAGUGAGCGGAUGAACUGAGGGUAGCGGAGAAAUUCCAAUCGAACCUGGAGAUAGCUGGUUCUCUCCGAAAUAGCUUUAGGGCUAGCCUCAAGUGAUGAUUAUUGGAGGUAGAGCACUGUUUGGACGAGGGGCCCCUCUCGGGUUACCGAAUUCAGACAAACUCCGAAUGCCAAUUAAUUUAACUUGGGAGUCAGAACAUGGGUGAUAAGGUCCGUGUUCGAAAGGGAAACAGCCCAGACCACCAGCUAAGGUCCCAAAAUAUAUGUUAAGUGGAAAAGGAUGUGGCGUUGCCCAGACAACUAGGAUGUUGGCUUAGAAGCAGCCAUCAUUUAAAGAGUGCGUAAUAGCUCACUAGUCGAGUGACACUGCGCCGAAAAUGUACCGGGGCUAAACAUGUUACCGAAGCUGUGGAUUGUCCUUUGGACAAUGGUAGGAGAGCGUUCUAAGGGCGUUGAAGCAUGAUCGUAAGGACAUGUGGAGCGCUUAGAAGUGAGAAUGCCGGUGUGAGUAGCGAAAGACGGGUGAGAAUCCCGUCCACCGAUUGACUAAGGUUUCCAGAGGAAGGCUCGUCCGCUCUGGGUUAGUCGGGUCCUAAGCUGAGGCCGACAGGCGUAGGCGAUGGAUAACAGGUUGAUAUUCCUGUACCACCUAUAAUCGUUUUAAUCGAUGGGGGGACGCAGUAGGAUAGGCGAAGCGUGCGAUUGGAUUGCACGUCUAAGCAGUAAGGCUGAGUAUUAGGCAAAUCCGGUACUCGUUAAGGCUGAGCUGUGAUGGGGAGAAGACAUUGUGUCUUCGAGUCGUUGAUUUCACACUGCCGAGAAAAGCCUCUAGAUAGAAAAUAGGUGCCCGUACCGCAAACCGACACAGGUAGUCAAGAUGAGAAUUCUAAGGUGAGCGAGCGAACUCUCGUUAAGGAACUCGGCAAAAAUGACCCCGUAACUUCGGGAGAAGGGGUGCUCUUUAGGGUUAACGCCCAGAAGAGCCGCAGUGAAUAGGCCCAAGCGACUGUUUAUCAAAAACACAGGUCUCUGCUAAACCGUAAGGUGAUGUAUAGGGGCUGACGCCUGCCCGGUGCUGGAAGGUUAAGAGGAGUGGUUAGCUUCUGCGAAGCUACGAAUCGAAGCCCCAGUAAACGGCGGCCGUAACUAUAACGGUCCUAAGGUAGCGAAAUUCCUUGUCGGGUAAGUUCCGACCCGCACGAAAGGCGUAACGAUUUGGGCACUGUCUCAACGAGAGACUCGGUGAAAUCAUAGUACCUGUGAAGAUGCAGGUUACCCGCGACAGGACGGAAAGACCCCGUGGAGCUUUACUGUAGCCUGAUAUUGAAAUUCGGCACAGCUUGUACAGGAUAGGUAGGAGCCUUUGAAACGUGAGCGCUAGCUUACGUGGAGGCGCUGGUGGGAUACUACCCUAGCUGUGUUGGCUUUCUAACCCGCACCACUUAUCGUGGUGGGAGACAGUGUCAGGCGGGCAGUUUGACUGGGGCGGUCACCUCCUAAAAGGUAACGGAGGCGCUCAAAGGUUCCCUCAGAAUGGUUGGAAAUCAUUCAUAGAGUGUAAAGGCAUAAGGGAGCUUGACUGCGAGACCUACAAGUCGAGCAGGGUCGAAAGACGGACUUAGUGAUCCGGUGGUUCCGCAUGGAAGGGCCAUCGCUCAACGGAUAAAAGCUACCCCGGGGAUAACAGGCUUAUCUCCCCCAAGAGUUCACAUCGACGGGGAGGUUUGGCACCUCGAUGUCGGCUCAUCGCAUCCUGGGGCUGUAGUCGGUCCCAAGGGUUGGGCUGUUCGCCCAUUAAAGCGGUACGCGAGCUGGGUUCAGAACGUCGUGAGACAGUUCGGUCCCUAUCCGUCGUGGGCGUAGGAAAUUUGAGAGGAGCUGUCCUUAGUACGAGAGGACCGGGAUGGACAUACCUCUGGUGUACCAGUUGUCGUGCCAACGGCAUAGCUGGGUAGCUAUGUGUGGACGGGAUAAGUGCUGAAAGCAUCUAAGCAUGAAGCCCCCCUCAAGAUGAGAUUUCCCAACUUCGGUUAUAAGAUCCCUCAAAGAUGAUGAGGUUAAUAGGUUCGAGGUGGAAGCAUGGUGACAUGUGGAGCUGACGAAUACUAAUCGAUCGAAGACUUAAUCAA